RNAcentral lists this ribosomal RNA (465 nucleotides) under Vreelandella stevensii. RNAcentral's name for it is "partial 16S ribosomal RNA". It matches the Rfam family "Bacterial small subunit ribosomal RNA", at positions 338 to 795 of the family's 1533-position model. The record is from RNAcentral. Lineage: Bacteria; Pseudomonadati; Pseudomonadota; Gammaproteobacteria; Oceanospirillales; Halomonadaceae.
CCUACGGGGGGCUGCAGUGGGGAAUAUUGGACAAUGGGGGGAACCCUGAUCCAGCCAUGCCGCGUGUGUGAAGAAGGCCCUCGGGUUAUAAAGCACUUUCAGUGAGGAAGAACGCCUGGUGGUUAAUACCCAUCAGGAAAGACAUCACUCACAGAAGAAGCACCGGCUAACUCCGUGCCAGCAGCCGCGGUAAUACGGAGGGUGCGAGCGUUAAUCGGAAUUACUGGGCGUAAAGCGCGCGUAGGUGGCUUGAUAAGCCGGUUGUGAAAGCCCCGGGCUCAACCUGGGAACGGCAUCCGGAACUGUCAAGCUAGAGUGCAGGAGAGGAAGGUAGAAUUCCCGGUGUAGCGGUGAAAUGCGUAGAGAUCGGGAGGAAUACCAGUGGCGAAGGCGGCCUUCUGGACUGACACUGACACUGAGGUGCGAAAGCGUGGGUAGCAAACAGGAUUAGAUACCCCUGUAGUC